AACGCACAUUGCGCCCGCUAGUAUUCUGGCGGGCAUGCCUGUUCGAGCGUCAUUUCAACCCUCAAGCCCCCGGGCUUGGUGUUGGGGUUCGGCCCGCCCCUAGCGGCGCGCCGUCCCCGAAAUCUAGUGGCGGUCUCGCGAUAGCCUCCUCUGCGUAGUAGCAAUAUCUCGCACUGGGACUGAGCAAGGCCACGCCGUUAAACCCCCCACUUCUGAAGGUUGACCUCGGAUCAGGUAGGAAUACCCGCUGAACUUAA
Molecule: unclassified non-coding RNA, 257 nt
Filed under: uncultured fungus
Lineage: Eukaryota; Fungi
Description: partial contains 5.8S ribosomal RNA, internal transcribed spacer 2, and large subunit ribosomal RNA
Source: RNAcentral